GGCAAGAUGGCCGAGUGGUCUAAGGCGCUACGUUUAGGUCAACUACUACCGUAGUCCGAAAGGGCGUGGGUUCAAAUCCCACUCUUGUCA
Molecule: non-coding RNA, 90 nt
Organism: Delitschia confertaspora ATCC 74209
Lineage: Eukaryota; Fungi; Ascomycota; Dothideomycetes; Pleosporales; Delitschiaceae
Source: the annotation of a GenBank genome assembly